This 414-nucleotide ribosomal RNA is filed under the name Triticum aestivum (bread wheat). RNAcentral describes it as "partial small subunit ribosomal RNA". The record is from RNAcentral. Lineage: Eukaryota; Viridiplantae; Streptophyta; Magnoliopsida; Poales; Poaceae.
AUGCCACCAGUUCUGGAGAGUGAUAUGCAUAGCAGGGAAUAUCUUGCGGAACAGAAACGCAAGGGUGAGGCAUAUUUGAAGGAAAGGAAUGCAAGGAUUGCGGAACGCAAGGCUGCGGAGCAGGAGUCUCUUAAAGACAUACAAAGCAUAGCUCGUAGCCUUGUAUACUCCAGUGCUCCUAAUGCGCAACUGACACAAAAGGCACAAGGUGCUGAUGAUUGCAGUGACUCAGAGUAUGACCGAGAUGCUGAAGAGGAGGCCUAUGUAGAGGAAGAGGAUUUGAGAGAUGAAGAGGAGGUCGCUCUUGCUAAGUCCAAAGCAAUGAAAAAAGACAAGUACAAUAAUCAUGAUCCAAGUCCCAUUGAGUUUUUCAAAGAUACCCAUACAAACAGCAAGACUGAUAGCAUGAGCUGA